This 138-nucleotide small nucleolar RNA is filed under the name Ornithorhynchus anatinus (platypus). The record is from RNAcentral. Lineage: Eukaryota; Metazoa; Chordata; Mammalia; Monotremata; Ornithorhynchidae.
CCCCUCUCAGGUUUGCAGCUGGAGAGUUUCCAGUACUCUACCAGUCUUGGCUAUGGGAGGGAGAAUCAAGCAGAGGCAUACCCAUUCCAUUCCUAGCUUGGGCAGUAGCUAGCGAGCAGAAGGCGAUCUGCUACAAGU